GGGAAUUUUCCGCAAUGGGCGAAAGCCUGACGGAGCAAUCUCGCGUGAGGGAAGAAGGCCUCUGGGCUGUAAACCUCCUUUCUCAAGGAAGAAGAUCUGACGGUACUUGAGGAAUAAGCCACGGCUAAUUCCGUGCCAGCAGCCGCGGUAAUACGGGAGUGGCAAGCGUUAUCCGGAAUUAUUGGGCGUAAAGCGUCCGCAGGCGGCCUUUCAAGUCUGCUGUUAAAGCGUGGAGCUUAACUCCAUUAAGGCAGUGGAAACUGUUGGGCUUGAGUGUGGUAGGGGCAGAGGGAAUUCCCGGUGUAGCGGUGAAAUGCGUAGAUAUCGGGAAGAACACCAGUGGCGAAGGCGCUCUGCUGGGCCAUAACUGACGCUCAUGGACGAAAGCCAGGGGAGCGAAAGGGAUUAGAUACCCCUGUAGUCA
RNAcentral lists this ribosomal RNA (424 nucleotides) under uncultured cyanobacterium. RNAcentral's name for it is "bacterial SSU rRNA". It matches the Rfam family "Bacterial small subunit ribosomal RNA", at positions 357 to 796 of the family's 1533-position model. The record is from RNAcentral. Lineage: Bacteria; Bacillati; Cyanobacteriota.